GAUGAACGCUGGCGGCGUGCCUAAUACAUGCAAGUCGAGCGAACGGACGAGAAGCUUGCUUCUCUGAUGUUAGCGGCGGACGGGUGAGUAACACGUGGAUAACCUACCUAUAAGACUGGGAUAACUUCGGGAAACCGGAGCUAAUACCGGAUGAUAUUUUGAACCGCAUGGUUCAAAAGUGAAAGACGGUCUUGCUGUCACUUAUAGAUGGAUCCGCGCUGCAUUAGCUAGUUGGUACGGUAACGGCUUACCAAGGCAACGAUGCAUAGCCGACCUGAGAGGGGGAUCGGCCACACUGGAACUGAGACACGGUCCAGACUCCUACGGGAGGCAGCAGUAGGGAAUCGUCCGCAAUGGGCGAAAGCCUGACGGAGCAACGCCGCGUGAGUGAUGAAGGUCUUCGGAUCGUAAAACUCUGUUAUGAGGGAAGAACAUAUGUGUAAGUAACUGUGCACAUCGUGACGGUACCUAAUCAGAAAGCCACGGCUAACUACGUG
This 497-nucleotide ribosomal RNA is filed under the name uncultured bacterium. Its description in RNAcentral is "partial 16S ribosomal RNA". It matches the Rfam family "Bacterial small subunit ribosomal RNA", at positions 28 to 507 of the family's 1533-position model. The record is from RNAcentral.